This is a long non-coding RNA of Cyprinus carpio (common carp), 1009 nucleotides long. RefSeq lists it as uncharacterized. The transcript is spliced from 3 exons. Lineage: Eukaryota; Metazoa; Chordata; Actinopteri; Cypriniformes; Cyprinidae. The record is from RefSeq and is a predicted model, not a curated record.
AUCCCAUCAGCAACCAGACUCAACAUCUGGACAUCACUCAACUCUGUCAGACAUGUGCAGAACUCUACCAGAAAUCACAAACUGUACUGCUUACUGUACUGCUACCACUUGUUUUAGUGGUGGUCAUGAUUGCACUAGGUGUGUUCUGUUUCAGAAUGAACUUCAGAUGUGCAAGAAGAGGAGCUCUCUGAUGGAGCGGAUAAACAUUGUGCACUCAAAUGAUCUGACAAUCUAACAGACUUCAGUAGCUAUAUGACAGAUCUCUGAUACAUAUGAUGCUGUGUCUCAGCACUCCAAGAUCAUGAACAAAGUAAUUAUAUAAACAAAACUUGGUAUAGCAUGAUCAUGAUUAUAUUGGUUUUAUUGGAUAAAAACUGUGAAAAAGCUUGUGACUGCAUUGAAUUAAUGUGCAUUAAGUAUGAGAAGAAAAAUACAAGAGUAAUUGUUGUAUAUUGCAACUGUUAAGCUUUUUGUUGCUGGAACCUGAUAUAGUUUUUAUUUGCUUUUACAUAUCUAAUAACCGUUAUGUGGUCCUUUUUCUUUGACUGGAUGUCAAUGUUUUAACUGAAUAAUUUAAUCUCAUCUCUACUGAGGCCAUUGCAGACCGAUAUCAGGACAAAGAGACACAUUUUGUCAGAAACUGUCCUGUAUUUAAUUAUCCUGCCCAGACUUGAGAAAGAGCUGAUCCAUCUUUUCACAAAAGAGCUGCCAACAAAACCAAUCACUAGACUUGUGACUGUCUUGGAAAAGAACAAAUUCAUUUGUAUUACAGUGUUAACACACACAGUGUGCUCAGUUGGUGUUUAUUUUGAACAUUUGAAAAUUAUGCCUAAUAUAUACCAUAUCAGUGUUUCUGUAUUUUCAGUGUUUUAUUACACUGCCCGGUUCCUGGGGAACUUCCUGCUGAGAUUUUGAACCAGUUCAUCAAAUAUAGUUCUGGUGAUUUGGCUCAAGAACCUGUAUGUUGAAUGUUGUGUGUUCUGUAAAUAAACUUGACUGUGGACACUUA